Long non-coding RNA from Mirounga angustirostris (Northern elephant seal), 334 nucleotides. RefSeq lists it as uncharacterized. The record is from RefSeq and is a predicted model, not a curated record. Lineage: Eukaryota; Metazoa; Chordata; Mammalia; Carnivora; Phocidae. The transcript is spliced from 3 exons.
UCCUGCUUCCUCACUAUUGACCUUUGGUGCCUCCCUCUCCUCCCGGUACUCUGAUUCACCAUCUAUACAGUGUCUGCCUUAUAAGCUGUUGUGAAGACUAAUGCAACAGUCCUGCAAAGCAUCAUGAGAAAGGUUUACCACAGCUGCUCAAAGAAAAUAGACCCAGAAUAAGAAAUUUUCCAUUUGGAUUUGGGGAACCAGCAAAUUCACUGAAGUAUGAUCAAGAACAAACCAAUCAAAAUAAGGGAUGAAGGAAAAUGUUCUUAAUGGACACUUUAACAGGAGCAACAUGGCAGGCAUAGAAAUGACAACAUGGAAUCCCAAAAUUCUAAAG